RNAcentral lists this ribosomal RNA (781 nucleotides) under uncultured bacterium. RNAcentral's name for it is "bacterial SSU rRNA". It matches the Rfam family "Bacterial small subunit ribosomal RNA", at positions 28 to 809 of the family's 1533-position model. The record is from RNAcentral.
GAGGAACGCUGGCGGCGUGCUUAACACAUGCAAGUCGAACGAAGCGGUUUAGCGGAAGUUUUCGGAUGGAAGUUAAACUGACUGAGUGGCGGACGGGUGAGUAACGCGUGGGUAACCUGCCUCACACGGGGGGACAACAGCUAGAAGUGGCUGCUAAUACCGCAUAAGCGCACAGCUUCGCAUGAAGCAGUGUGAAAAACUCCGGUGGUGUGAGAUGGACCCGCGUCUGAUUAGCUGGUUGGUGAGGUAACGGCUCACCAAGGCGACGAUCAGUAGCCGACCUGAGAGGGUGACCGGCCACAUUGGGACUGAGACACGGCCCAAACUCCUACGGGAGGCAGCAGUGGGGAAUAUUGCACAAUGGGGGAAACCCUGAUGCAGCGACGCCGCGUGAGUGAAGAAGUAUUUCGGUAUGUAAAGCUCUAUCAGCAGGGAAGAGAAUGACGGUACCUGACUAAGAAGCCCCGGCUAACUACGUGCCAGCAGCCGCGGUAAUACGUAGGGGGCAAGCGUUAUCCGGAUUUACUGGGUGUAAAGGGAGCGUAGACGGCUUAGCAAGUCUGAAGUGAAAGCCCGGGGCUCAACCCCGGGACUGCUUUGGAAACUGUUAAGCUGGAGUGCUGGAGAGGUAAGCGGAAUUCCUAGUGUAGCGGUGAAAUGCGUAGAUAUUAGGAGGAACACCAGUGGCGAAGGCGGCUUACUGGACAGUAACUGACGUUGAGGCUCGAAAGCGUGGGGAGCAAACAGGAUUAGAUACCCUGGUAGUCCACGCUGUAAACGA